UACUGUUUCAUGUAGGUGUUAAAGUUUGUACAAGAAGUUAGUUUUCUGUUAAGCCUUACAUAUUGACUGAGCAGUA
MicroRNA precursor from Caenorhabditis elegans, 76 nucleotides. The record is from Ensembl. NCBI's taxonomy places the organism in Eukaryota, Metazoa, Nematoda, Chromadorea, Rhabditida, Rhabditidae.